GAUGAACGCUGGCGGCGUGCUUAACACAUGCAAGUCGAACGAUGAAGCCCAGCUUGCUGGGUGGAUUAGUGGCGAACGGGUGAGUAACACGUGAGUAACCUGCCCUUAACUCUGGGAUAAGCCUGGGAAACUGGGUCUAAUACCGGAUAGGAGCGUCCACCGCAUGGUGGGUGUUGGAAAGAUUUAUCGGUUUUGGAUGGACUCGCGGCCUAUCAGCUUGUUGGUGAGGUAAUGGCUUACCAAGGCGACGACGGGUAGCCGGCCUGAGAGGGUGACCGGCCACACUGGGACUGAGACACGGCCCAGACUCCUACGGGAGGCAGCAGUGGGGAAUAUUGCACAAUGGGCGCAAGCCUGAUGCAGCGACGCCGCGUGAGGGAUGACGGCCUUCGGGUUGUAAACCUAUUUCAGUAGGGAAGAAGCGAAAGUGACGGUACCUGCAGAAGAAGCACCGGCUAACUACGUG
This 466-nucleotide ribosomal RNA is filed under the name uncultured bacterium. RNAcentral describes it as "partial 16S ribosomal RNA". It matches the Rfam family "Bacterial small subunit ribosomal RNA", at positions 28 to 507 of the family's 1533-position model. The record is from RNAcentral.